UAUAGUUAAGUCUUGAUUGUUGUUGGUGUCACUGGGAGGGAUUUUCCUCCAGGCCAAUUGGCAGUGAGGACCCGCUGUAUCC
RNAcentral lists this microRNA precursor (82 nucleotides) under Eptesicus fuscus (big brown bat). RNAcentral describes it as "microRNA efu-mir-9237b precursor". The record is from miRBase by way of RNAcentral. Lineage: Eukaryota; Metazoa; Chordata; Mammalia; Chiroptera; Vespertilionidae.